CUCUCAGGCUCUUCUCCAGGAGUAUAAAGGAAAAUGCCAGGCAGCAGAGUGAGGGAGGAAUAAGAUUGCAUUAAUGAAUAAGUAGAAGCAACAAUAGGAUUGGGAAGGAGGAGAAUUGAGAUUGAAAGUCAGAAAACAGAAAAUUGGACUAAUCAAGCAUGAGACUGGAUGCCUGAGGGAAACAAAGCUACAUGAGGUUUGCAGUGAAGAAUGAGACUGGAGUCUGGAAAGCAGUCUCAGCGGAGGAAUCAACUGGUUAAGUUGGUUAUAUUCUCUGUUGGAUACAAAUCAGCAGAAAAGAGGAGCAGUCAGACAUCUCAGUGGGGUGUGAGGGACCCUGUGUUUUCCCUGGUUGAAAUGCUGCCUUGGCUUCUGUGAAGGAAUGGAAGUGGCAUCAGGUGUGCAUCUCUUGUUGAAGAUUUGUAGCUGGAGAUAUUCCCUUGAAUGGGCAAGACUAAUUGUGGAAUUCAGCAUUUGCACAUAGAGCACUACUGUGGUGUCUCAGGAAUGCCUCCUUCAGUGAGAACAGAGAUUGUUGUUCUUUGCCUGGAAUAUAAUUUACUGAAAAAAUCCCAACUGUUUGGCUUCAUCUGGAAUCACUUCAGAGCUGUGAAGAAAGUGUAACAACACACAGAAAGUAAAACUGCUGUCAGUGCCAGUCUGUGAAGAAGUGUUUGCUGAAAAAUUAUUCUAUCUCAAGGUCACUGGCACUUAAAGAGUAUCAGGAAGUUCCAUGACUUUGAAAAAUAAAUAAUUUUUGUCUGGAGUUCUUGGCUGGUGU
This 781-nucleotide long non-coding RNA is filed under the name Junco hyemalis (dark-eyed junco). RNAcentral's name for it is "lncRNA (ENSJHYG00000014091.1)". Lineage: Eukaryota; Metazoa; Chordata; Aves; Passeriformes; Passerellidae. The record is from RNAcentral.